UUUUUUAAUUCAACAUCGAGGCGUAAUCUUUCUUGUAGAUAAGAACUCUCAAAGAAAAUUACCUGUUAUCCCUAAAGUAACUUAAUCUUAUAAUCUUUAUUAAAGGAUCAUUCACGCGAUCUGAUUAUAAAUCAUUAAAAUUUUAAAAACAGUUACUUUUUAUAUUUUUAUCGCCCCAAUAAAAUAAAUUCCACAAAAAAAGUUUUAAUCAACUACUCCACUUUUUUAGUUUUGUUUAUCAAGUUUUAUAGGGUCUUAUCGUCACUUUAAUUUAUUUAAGCCUUUUUACUUAAAAGUUAAGUUCAAUAAAUUUAGCUGAAGACAGUUUGUUUCUUGUGCGACCAUUCAUACAAGCCUCCAAUUAAGAGACAAGUGAUUAUGCUACCUUUGCACGGUCAAAAUACCGCGGCCCUUUAAAAUUCAGUGGGCAGGCCAGACU
RNAcentral lists this ribosomal RNA (439 nucleotides) under Euphausia crystallorophias (ice krill). Its description in RNAcentral is "large subunit ribosomal RNA". Lineage: Eukaryota; Metazoa; Arthropoda; Malacostraca; Euphausiacea; Euphausiidae. The record is from RNAcentral.